GGGCGGGUAGCUCAGUGGUAGAGCAUUCGACUUUUAAUCGACUGGUCAUGGGUUCGACCCCCAUCCCGCCCA
RNAcentral lists this transfer RNA (72 nucleotides) under Tardiphaga robiniae. RNAcentral describes it as "Rhodopseudomonas sp. R-45977 tRNA". It matches the Rfam family "tRNA". Rfam says of the family: Transfer RNA (tRNA) molecules are approximately 80 nucleotides in length. Their secondary structure includes four short double-helical elements and three loops (D, anti-codon, and T loops). Further hydrogen bonds mediate the characteristic L-shaped molecular structure. tRNAs have two regions of fundamental functional importance: the anti-codon, which is responsible for specific mRNA codon recognition, and the 3' end, to which the tRNAs corresponding amino acid is attached (by aminoacyl-tRNA synthetases). tRNAs cope with the degeneracy of the genetic code in two manners: having more than one tRNA (with a specific anti-codon) for a particular amino acid; and 'wobble' base-pairing, i.e. permitting non-standard base-pairing at the 3rd anti-codon position. Lineage: Bacteria; Pseudomonadati; Pseudomonadota; Alphaproteobacteria; Hyphomicrobiales; Nitrobacteraceae. The record is from Rfam by way of RNAcentral.